RNAcentral lists this ribosomal RNA (447 nucleotides) under uncultured bacterium. RNAcentral's name for it is "bacterial SSU rRNA". It matches the Rfam family "Bacterial small subunit ribosomal RNA", at positions 331 to 793 of the family's 1533-position model. The record is from RNAcentral.
CCAGACUCCUACGGGAGGCAGCAGUGGGGAAUAUUGGGCAAUGGGCGCAAGCCUGACCCAGCAACGCCGCGUGAAGGAAGAAGGCUUUCGGGUUGUAAACUUCUUUUGACAGGGAAGAGCAGAAGACGGUACCUGUCGAAUAAGCCACGGCUAACUACGUGCCAGCAGCCGCGGUAAUACGUAGGUGGCAAGCGUUGUCCGGAUUUACUGGGUGUAAAGGGCGUGUAGCCGGGCUUACAAGUCAGAUGUGAAAUCCGGGGGCUCAACCCCCGAACUGCAUUUGAAACUGUAGGUCUUGAGUAUCGGAGAGGCAGACGGAAUUCCUAGUGUAGCGGUGAAAUGCGUAGAUAUUAGGAGGAACACCAGUGGCGAAGGCGGCCUGCUGGGCUUUUACUGACGCUGAGGCUCGAAAGUGUGGGGAGCAAACAGGAUUAGAUACCCGUGUAU